RNAcentral lists this ribosomal RNA (253 nucleotides) under uncultured bacterium. RNAcentral describes it as "partial 16S ribosomal RNA". It matches the Rfam family "Bacterial small subunit ribosomal RNA", at positions 524 to 776 of the family's 1533-position model. The record is from RNAcentral.
GACGGAGGAUGCAAGUGUUAUCCGGAAUCACUGGGCGGAAAGCGUCUGUAGGUGGUCAAAUAAGUCAACUGUUAAAUCUUGAGGCUCAACCUCAAAAUCGCAGUCGAAACUAUUAGACUAGAGUAUAGUAGGGGUAAAGGGAAUUUCCAGUGGAGCGGUGAAAUGCGUAGAGAUUGGAAAGAACACCGAUGGCGAAGGCACUUUACUGGGCUAUUACUAACACUCAGAGACGAAAGCUAGGGUAGCAAAUGGG